Drosophila ananassae is the source of this 10029-nucleotide RNA transcript. It is a transcript of the gene named neurofibromin, with no coding region annotated. The record is from RefSeq and is a predicted model, not a curated record. The transcript is spliced from 19 exons. Lineage: Eukaryota; Metazoa; Arthropoda; Insecta; Diptera; Drosophilidae.
UUACAGUCGAGUCCCGUUAUAUCAAGCAAGGCUCGAGAAAAGUAUUAUCGAUAUAUUCAUAUUUUGAUACAUUAUCAACAUGUCCACUUUGUUUACAAGAAAUGCAGUGAAAGGCGUGGAAUAAAUGCUAAAAAUAUAACAAAAUGGGCACCCAAAAGCCAGGCGAGUGGGCCAGUGCCCUUUUGGCCCGUUUCGAGGAUCAGCUGCCGAACCGAAUCGGAGCCUAUGGAACGCAGGCGAGGAUGAGCCAGGACCAGCUCGUGGCCUGUUUAAUCCACAUCUCUCGUUAUCGUUUCUCACUGGUCAUCUCUGGACUUACGAAAAUGUUGCAAAGGGUCAAUGAAGCGGCCCUUCAAAAUCGCCACGAACCGGAGCGUUGCUACUUCGAAUCCCUGGUCAUUAUACUGACCACACUGGAGCGCUGUUUGACCAACCAGACCAAGGACACCGCCCGCUUCGAGGAGGCCAUGAACGUGAAACUCUUGCUGCGGGAAAUCUCCCAGUUCGUGGACGUUCAGAGCGACAGUAAUCCAAAUGCUGCUCAACUGAAGGCUUUGGCAUCGAAGGUGCUCUUCGCCCUGUCCCAGAACCACUUCUCGGCCGUGUUUAAUCGCAUCUCGGCGAGAAUUCAGGAGCUGACCUCUUGCUCCGAGGAGAAUCCCGAUUAUAAUGACAUCGAGUUGAUACAGCACAUCGACAUGGACAUGAUUAAGCUCACAAAGCUGCUGCAGGAAACCAUUACAAAGUUUCGGUCCAAGCGAGCCCCUCCUUUGAUUCUGCUUUACUCGCUGGAAAAGGCCAUUUGGAACUGGAUUGAAUACCAUCCUCAGGAGUUCCAGGAUCUGCAACGGGGCACAAACCGCGAUAUAUCCACCUGCUGGGAACCCUUGAUGGACCUGGUAGAGUACUUUAAAUCAGAGAACAAAAAGAGCAAGACACUUGUGUGGCCACUACAAAUGCUAUUACUGAUUCUGAAUCCCUCCUGCCUCGAGGCCACUGUAAACGAACUCCAACAGUCGGAGAAGGAAAAAGAGAAGGAGAAAGUGCCCUCGAAGUCAACCCAAUCAACUUCGCGGGACAAGGACUUUUCUGCAAAACAGUUUAUCGAAAGUAUUAAACGAGGAUUGGGCCAGCACUCGCCCUCCAAACAGGUCACUGAGUCUUCCGCCAUCGCUUGUGUAAAGCUCUGCAAAGCAUCUACAUACAUCAACAUAAACGACUCCAAUAAUGUGGUAUUUAAGCUGGUGCAGUACUUCAUUAAUGACCUCAAGGCGCUACUUUUUAAUCCGGCCAAGCCCUUCUCCCGUGGUCAGGGCUACAACUUUGCGGAUAUCGAGCUAAUGAUUGACUGCUGGGUAUCCUGUUUCCGCAUCAAUCCGCACAACAUUGAGGCUUUGAAAGUGUGUCUGAAUCUGUCAUCGCCACAGGCCUAUCACUUUGUUAUUGUGUGCUCGCUGCUGAGGUUGGCCCACAUUUAUGUGGACUUUCGUCUGCAAAAUAAGAAUCCCUUUCGCAUCGUCAACCAGCCACGUUUGUCCUGGUGGCCGCAAACCGAUGUCGUCCACUACCGCUCUGCGGAGCUGCGAGCUCUGUUCACGGAUACCCUCAAUAAAGCCACCCAAGGUUACAUAGCCCAUACUCCUCUGAGAUAUAUAACCUCGCUUACGCUGAAAUCGAAGGACACCCAAAAGGGCUUGACCAGGGCUGAAGAAGGUCCUGCCCACAAGAUGCUACUGUUGCUCCUCGUUCGACUGAUCCAUGCUGAUCCCACCCUCCUGUUGAAUACUCAAGGAAAGGUGGCCCACGAGGUUCAAAGCUCGACUUUGGAGCUUAUUAACGGACUAGUGAGUCUGGUUCACCAGACCACCAUGCCAGAUGUGGCCCAGGAAGCCAUGGAGGCGCUGCUUGCUUUGCAUGCCCCGGAAAAAAUUGAAGUUUGGAACCCGGAAGCACCGAUCAACACCUUCUGGGACGUUAGUUCCCAAGUUCUGUUCUCAAUCUCGCAGAAACUCAUCCAACACCAGAUUGCCAACUAUACGGAUGUACUGAAGUGGUUGCGCGAGAUCUUAAUCUGCCGCAAUACCUUCCUUCAGCGUCACAAGGACUAUGCCCACGUGGGCAGCCAAAUCGCAAUCUGCAAGCAGGCCCACAUCAAGAUGGAGGUCGUAUUUUUCAUGUACCUGUGGAGUGUUGACUUGGAUGCAGUCCUAACAUCGCUCUCGUGCUUCGGACUGCUUUGCGAGGAAGCUGAGAUUUGCUGCAGCUCUGACGAGCUGACAGUGGGCUUCAUCAUGCCCAACUAUCACAUUUACCAGGAGUUGGCACAGCUGUCCUCCUCUGCCACCGACACUCGUAUUUGCUUCUUCGACAACACCCAUGGCAACGUGCUCAGCCGACUCACGCUGCAGAAACGAAUAAUGACCCUACUACGUAAAAUCGAACACUGCGUCCAUGGUGUCCAACCUGCCUGGGAGGAGACCUUCCGCAACUGGGAAGUGUCCAGUAAGGUGCUGCAAACCUAUCCAAAGUGCAAGGGCGAGGAUGCGCAGGCAGAAGUCUUUCAUCGUGGCAUGGGGAAGCGGCGAGCCAGUCACCAAAGCUCAGAGCACGACCUGGAGGAACAGAUCAAUGAGUGGGCCAACAUGACGUGGUUCCUGCUGGCCCUCGGCGGCGUUUGCCUUCACAAGCGCAGCAGCAGCCGCCAAAUGCUUCUGCAGCAAUCGCAGAACAAUGUUUCAUUGGGUUCGCUGGCACAGAACUCACUUUAUUCCAGCUCCACAAGUUCCGGACACGGAUCGUUGCAUCCCAGUACAGUGUCCUUGUCCACUCUUCCGCCAGCUCCGCCCCAAGACGUCAGUUAUUGUCCAGUUACGCAAUUUAUUGGACAACUGCUGCGCCUUUUGGUUUGCAGUAACGAAAAGAUCGGCUUAAAUAUCCAAAAGAAUGUGAAGGAACUCGUAGGCGAGGAGAUGUCCUCCCAACUGUAUCCCAUUCUCUUCGACCAAGUCCGCGCCAUCGUCGAAAAGUUCUUCGACCAGCAAGGACAGGUUAAUGUAAACGUUACGGACAUCAAUACCCAGUUUAUAGAGCACACCAUCUACAUAAUGAAGUCGAUCCUCGACCCCAAGGCCAGCAAGGAUCCCAACAGCGAACAACCCGCUCCCUCGGAGCACCUGGGAGUGACCAGCAUUGAGGGAAUGAUGCUAGGAAUAGUUCGGUAUGUCCGUCACCUCGACAUGACUGUCUAUGCCAUAAGGAUUAAGACAAAACUGUGCCAGCUGGUGGAGGUUAUGAUGAAACGUCGCGACGAUCUUGCCUUCCGCCAGGAGAUGAAGUUUCGAAACAAGCUAGUGGAAUACCUGACCGACUGGGUAAUGGGAACAUCUCAUCAGAUUGCGCCACCGAGCUCAGCGGAUGCGUCCAUUCUCACCAACACAUCGCUGAUCUUCCGGGACUUGGACCAAGCAUGCAUGGAAGCAGUGGCCGCUUUACUCCGGGGUCUACCUCUGCAGCCGGAGGAAUCGGAUCGCGGAGAUCUCAUGGACGCCAAAAGCGCCUUGUUUCUGAAGUACUUUACCCUUUUCAUGAACCUCUUGAACGAUUGCAUUGACAGCUCGGAGGCCGAAAAGGAGAUGAAUAAUACACCACUUCUGCCACCCCGUCCUCGUAUGGCGGCCGGGAAGCUGACAGCCUUGAGAAACGCCACCAUCCAGGCCAUGUCCAAUCUGCUAGGUGCCAACAUUGAUUCUGGCUUAAUGCACUCCAUUGAUUUGGGCUACAAUCCGGAUCUACAAACCCGAGCCGCUUUUAUGGAAGUGCUAACUCAAAUCCUCCAACAGGGCACGGAGUUCGAUACCUUGGCCGAGACUGUCUUAGCGGAUCGCUUCGAACAGCUGGUCCAGUUGGUCACGAUGAUCAGCGACAAGGGCGAGCUGCCCAUCGCCAUGGCAUUGGCCAACGUAGUGACCACCUCCCAAAUGGAUGAGCUGGCCAGAGUACUGGUCACUCUGUUCGACGCCAAGCACCUGUUGUCGCCGCUUCUGUGGAAUAUGUUUUACCGCGAGGUUGAGGUUUCCGAUUGCAUGCAGACGCUUUUCCGGGGAAAUUCGUUGGGCAGCAAGAUCAUGGCUUUUUGCUUCAAGAUUUACGGAGCGAGCUACCUGCAGAUGCUGCUGGAACCAUUGAUUCGCCCGCUACUUGAUGAGCAGGAGGAGACCUGCUUCGAGGUGGAUCCUGCCCGAUUGGAUCCCACGGACGACAUUGAACAGCACCGGAACAACCUGAUUGCGCUCACCCAGAAGGUUUUCGACGCUAUCAUAAACUCCUCCGACCGGUUCCCGCCUCAACUCCGCUCCAUGUGCCAUUGUCUAUACCAAGUGCUUAGCAAGCGUUUCCCGAACCUCCUUCAGAACAACAUCGGUGCCGUGGGCACUGUUAUAUUCCUACGGUUUAUAAACCCUGCCAUUGUCUCACCACAAGAGCUUGGAAUUGUUGACAAGCAGGUCCAUAGCUCGGCCAAACGAGGGCUUAUGCUGAUGUCGAAGAUCCUGCAGAAUAUUGCCAACCACGUGGAGUUCUCGAAGGAACAGCACAUGCUCUGCUUCAACGACUUUCUGCGCGAUCACUUCGAGGCCGGCCGCCGGUUCUUCAUCCAGAUCGCCUCAGAUUGCGAGACAGUGGACCAAACAUCGCACAGCAUGAGUUUCAUUUCGGACGCCAAUGUGCUGGCCCUGCAUCGUUUGUUGUGGACACACCAGGAGAAGAUCGGCGACUAUCUGUCCAGCAGCCGGGAUCACAAGGCGGUGGGAAGACGACCCUUUGACAAAAUGGCCACCUUGCUAGCAUACCUGGGUCCGCCGGAACACAAGCCCGUGGACUCCCACAUGAUGUUUAGUUCAUAUGCGCGCUGGAGCUCCAUCGACAUGUCCUCUACCAACUUUGAGGAAAUCAUGGUCAAGCACCAAAUGCAUGAGAAGGAGGAGUUUAAAACCCUCAAGUCCAUGAACAUAUUUUACCAAGCGGGCACCAGCAAAUCCGGCUAUCCGGUGUUCUACUACAUUGCCAGGAGAUACAAGAUCGGGGAAACGAAUGGAGACCUCCUUAUCUAUCAUGUAAUUCUCACUCUAAAACCCUUCUGUCACUCCCCAUUCGAAGUUGUUAUUGAUUUCACGCACACUUGCUCUGACAACCGAUUUCGCACAGAGUUCUUACAGAAGUGGUUCUAUGUCCUGCCCACAGUGGCUUAUGAAAACGUCCAUGCCGUGUACAUCUAUAACUGUAACUCGUGGGUGCGGGAGUACACCAAGUUCCAUGACCGCAUUCUGGCCCCACUUAAAGGCAAUAGGAAACUGCUCUUCCUGGAGUCGCCGAACAAACUCAGUGAUUUCAUCGAUGCGGAGCAGCAAAAGCUGCCUGGAGCCACGCUUUCCCUGGAUGAGGAUCUAAAGGUGUUCAGCAACGCCCUUAAAUUAAGUCACAAGGACACCAAGGUAGCCAUAAAAGUGGGUCCAACUGCCCUUCAGAUUACAUCUGCGGAAAAGACAAAAGUUCUAGCUCAUUCCGUGCUUUUGAACGAUGUUUACUAUGCCUCGGAAAUCGAGGAAGUGUGUCUGGUGGACGACAACCAGUUCACUCUGUCGAUAACUAACGAGAGUGGCCAGCUGAGCUUCAUCCACAAUGAUUGCGACAAUAUUGUCCAGGCCAUUAUCCACAUUCGGAACCGCUGGGAGUUGAGUCAGCCAGAUUCGGUGACAGUGCACCAGAAGAUUCGGCCAAAGGAUGUGCCGGGAACAUUGCUGAACAUGGCGCUUCUGAAUCUUGGAUCCUGUGAUCCCAAUCUUAGGACAGCCGCAUACAAUUUGCUUUGUGCGCUGACCGCCACUUUUGAUUUGAAAAUUGAAGGACAACUCCUCGAAACUCAGGGAUUGUGUAUUCCCUCCAAUAACACGAUCUUCAUUAAGUCCGUAAGCGAGAAACUGGCCACCAAUGAGCCACAUCUUACCCUAGAGUUCCUCGAAGAGUCGAUCCAGGGAUUCCAGCGCAGCACCAUCGAGCUGAAGCAUUUGUGCUUGGAGUACAUGACGCCCUGGCUAAAGAAUCUUGUCAAGUUCUGCAAGUCCAACGACGACUCCAAGAAGUUAAAGGUCUCUCAGAUUCUAGACAAGCUCAUAAACCUAACAAUUGAUCAGAAGGAGAUGUAUCCGUCGGUGCAAGCCAAAAUCUGGGGCUCAAUUGGCCAAAUACCGGAACUCAUCGACAUGGUGUUGGAUAACUUUUUGCAUAAAUCGAUCACUUACGGAUUGGGUUCCCCUCAAGUGGAAAUAAUGGCCGAUACGGCCGUGGCUUUGGCUUCUGCGAAUGUUCAGCUGGUGUCCAAGAAAGUCAUCACUCGCAUGUGCCGGGUAAUGGACAAGUCGUGCACCAAUCCCACCCAGUACCUGGAGCAGCAUAUGAUGUGGGAUGAUAUUGCCAUCCUAGGACGAUAUCUUCUCAUGUUGUCCUUCAACAAUUGCCUAGAUGUGGCUACCUCGGUGCCGUACUUGUUUCACACAAUAACGUUUCUGGUUUGUUCCGGAUCGCUGUCCAUGAGAGCCUCCACCCACGGCUUGGUGAUUAACAUCAUCCACUCUCUGUGCACCUGCACAAAUCCCUCCUUCUCGGAGGAGGCCCAACGCGUACUCCGGCUGUCGUUGGACGAGUUCUCGUUGCCCAAAUUUUACUUGCUAUUCGGCAUUAGCAAGGUGAAAUCAGCUGCAGUUACUGCCUUCCGCUCCAGCUGCCGCCAUCCCACAGACAAGUGGCUAGGAAACGAGCGAGUCACCCAACCCCUGCCGGCAGAUCGAGAACGUCUAUCGCUGCCCUCCCUGGAAGUAAUCACCGAUGCCCUGCUUGAGAUCAUGGAGGCCUGUAUGCGUGACGUCCCUGACUGUGAAUGGUUGCAGACAUGGACUUCCCUGGCCCGUAGCUUUGCCUUCUGCUACAAUCCGGCUCUGCAGCCCAGGGCUCUUAUUGUCUUCGGAUGUAUCAGCAAGAGUGUGACUGACCACGAAGUGAAGCAGUUGCUCCGCAUUCUGGUCAAGGCACUGGAGUCUUUUAAUGAUCUAAUCCUAAUCGAGGCUCUGGUGAUGUGCUUGACCCGAAUUCAGCCGCUCUUACGACCGGAAUCGCCCAUCCAUAGAGCACUCUUCUGGGUGGCCAUCUCAGUGCUGCAGCUGGAUGAGAUUACCCUUUAUGGAGCCGGUCUAGCUCUUCUCGAACAGAAUCUGCACACACUUAAGUCACAGGGCUGCUUCGACAAGAAGGAGACCAUUGCGGAGGUCAUGAUGAAAACCCGCGAGAAACUGGAGUGGCACUUCAAGCAGCUGGACCAUGCCGUGGGACUCUCGUUUCGCAGUAACUUCCACUUUGCCCUGGUGGGCCAUCUUAUCAAGGGCUUCCGUCAUCCAACUCCAACAACUGUUUCACGCACCUCCCGAGUCCUGACCAUGCUCUUGGGAAUCAUAGCCAAGCCUCUGCACCGGGACAAGUUUGAGGUGACACCUGAUAGUGUGGCCUAUCUGACGGCCCUGGUUGCCGUCUCCGAGGAGGUCCGCUCCCGCUGCCAUGUGAAGCACGCUCUGCCGCGUUGGCCCGCCGAGUUGACAGGCAGUGUGGAGAACGGAGAAGUAGCCAAUGGCGUUCAAGCUAUUGGCCAGCCGCUGUCACGUCGACAAAAGAGCUGGGACAUCCUUGAUCAGUCCGCUUUGCAGUUCGCUCGCCAGCACAAGGUCCCUACUCUUCAGAACGCUAGAGUUUUGUUCAAAACUCAACGGUCAUUCUCGGUGCCAACAACCAAAGAUCCAAACAAUGCUACCGGCAUCGAAGAACGUCAGGAACGCGGCUCGCGUUCUUCAGUGUCCAAUGAGUCGAAUGUGCUACUUGAUCCGGAAGUCCUACCCGACUUGUCCAUCCAGGCGUUGGUGCUGACAGUCUUGGCCACCUUGGUCAAGUAUUCCUCGGAUGAGGGAGAAACUAGGGUUUUGUAUCAGUAUUUGGCCGAAGGUUCAGUCGUUUUUCCCAAAGUGUUUCCAGUAAUCCACUCAUUGCUGGAUCAGAAAAUCAAUAAUAUCCUGUCAGUGUCACAUGAUCAGGUUGUCCUAAACUCGGUCCAAAAUAUAAUCCAGAAUAUGCUGGCCAGCGAAGAUCCCUCCCAACAACAGCUGCACUUUUUACAGAGUUGCGGAUUUGGCGGACUUUGGCGAUUCGCCGGUCCCUUUACCAAGUAUAAUAUGAUGGGAGAAUCCUCGGAGCUCUUUGUCAACUGUUUGGAGGCCAUGGUAGAGACCUGCUUGCCAGGCGACGAAUCGGCUCCGGUGCCACCCUCACCGCGUCCCUACAAUUUGAGCUCCAGCCUGAGUAGCCUGACCUUGGGCUCUCCCACGGACAAGGCAUUCUCAUCGGAAUCAUUAGAUUUUUAUGAAAAUUGCCCGGGCAGCGUCAGCAGCUUGCGACGCCCCUCACACAGCAAAUCACGCGCCAAACAUCGAAUUAACGACAGUCCAUCACAUUGAAAGAUCCACAGCUUAAACCCAAAGUAAAACUGCAACCCAAUCGAACAGCUACGGCAAAAAAAAAAUACUUUGAUAGCUAAAAAGCAACAGAAAAACACCAAUAUUUGAAAUACAUAUGUAUUUUGUAGUUAUCUAAGCUUUGCCUAAUCCAAACCAGAUCAUUGCCCAUCAUUGGAAUUGAUUCGAUUGUAGAAGUUAAAGACACAUGUUAAAAUUCAAUAUGCAUAUUGUUAAAUAGAAACGGAAUACCUAGGAAACUCCAAAUACCAAAACUGCAUGAAUAACAACUACAAACCCGCGCACUAGACGUACCACACUAAUCGCAAAAGUAAUGCGUUUCCUUAAUCUGUUUAAAAAGUGCUUUUAGAGAGACAGAGUGAAUGAGAACCAGAAAACCCACAGAAUUUCGUACAAAAUGAUAGAAUAUUUAUAUAUUGGUAUAUGUAUGUAUGUAUAGAAGGUCCAGAGAUGCCCGCGAAGUGCACCUGGGGAAAGUAAAUGGAGAAAGGCGCCAAGUGUAAAAAAAAAAUGUUUGUAUAUAAGUGUGUAGAAAGGAUGCGACCAAGAGUACUGAGCAGGCGGAAAGGGCAAGCUACCGCCGACGAGGAUAUCGAAUGGAAAUAUUUUUAAACAUUUUACGAUUGUACAUUUUUGUAAUCCGCAACUUAAACUAAGCACGUACACAAAGUUCACCAGUUCCUGAGCAGAUAAUUACAACCAAGCGAAACGAAGUUAACCGACAAGAGCGAGCAAAUCCAUCUUAUAAAUAGAAGGUCAAAUCAAAGGAAUCGAAAAAGAAAUGAAAUGAAAGCUUUAAACAAGCGGCAUGUCCGCUAACAUUAUUUGUAUUAUACAAGAAUCUCCUCUGAAAGUGUAUCGAACGGCAUUUAUUUUAAUUAUUAUUAUUAUUAUUAUUUUUACCCAAGUUCAUCAUACAUUAUUGAUUACUAAUUUAUUUCAUGAGCACAUUCUACAGGUAACUUUUAAAAACACCACACGAGUACACUACACGAAGAUCAAACUAACUACUGUUAAGCUAAUAAACUAUCCAGUGCGCUUUAAAAGUAAUUUAGUUAUAUAGGCACAAACGCUAAGAUUUUAAUCCUUAUAGCUCCAAGUAGGCAAAAAGAAUUGAAACGAAAUUUAAAUAUUACCAAAUUGUCAAACGCAACAAGUUUACCCGUUAAACCUAUUUUCUAGCACAAAAUUUUAGCACAUAUUUGUACUUGACGUUAUUAAUGGCGUUAUUAAUUAACCACAUGUUUUUUUUAAAACUAACUAGAUGAGCGAAACUAACCAAGUUAAUUUGAAUUGAAACUCUAAAUGUAUAUGUGUGUGUUGCUAUAUGUGUAUUAAACAAAUAUGUAUCAUUGUAUAUUACGAAAACUUAAAGAUAUUUAUGAAAUGUUAAUGUCUUCAAUUUAUCAAUGUACAACAAUAUCGAUCAAAAUAAUAUACUUUCAAUAAAAGUGUUACAAUA